This 465-nucleotide ribosomal RNA is filed under the name Echinocephalus sp. s MM-2022. RNAcentral's name for it is "SSU rRNA". It matches the Rfam family "Eukaryotic small subunit ribosomal RNA", at positions 458 to 929 of the family's 1831-position model. The record is from RNAcentral. Lineage: Eukaryota; Metazoa; Nematoda; Chromadorea; Rhabditida; Gnathostomatidae.
GAGGAGGUAGUGACGAAAAAUAACGGGACCGUUCUCUAUGAGGCCGGUCAUCGGAAUGGGCACAGUCUAAAUCCCUUAACGAGGAUCUAUGAGAGGGCAAGUCUGGUGCCAGCAGCCGCGGUAAUUCCAGCUCUCAAAGUGUAUAUCGUCAUUGCUGCGGUUAAAAAGCUCGUAGUUGGAUCUGCGCCGUAGAACUUGGUCCGCUCACUGAGCGUGAACUGAGCUUCUCGGCUAUUAUGGCUGGUUUUCCCUUCGUUGCCUUCAUCGGUUGCGUAGGGUGGCUGGCGAAUUUACCUUGAAAAAAUUAGAGUGCUUCAAACAGGUUUUCGCCUGUAUAUCUGUGCGUGGAAUAAUGGAACAGGAUUUCGGUCCUAUUUUGUUGGUUUUCUGAGCCGAAAUAAUGGUUAAGAGGGACAGACGGGGGCAUUCGUAUCGCUGCGCGAGAGGUGAAAUUCUUGGACCGUA